GAGAGCCGGGCUCAGAGGGAAGGAGGCGGAGAGAGCGGGGCUCCCGGGGAAGGAGCAGCGAGAGCCGCGCUCGGGGGGAAGGAGCAGCGAGAGCCGCGCUCGGGGGGAAGGAGCAGCGAGAGCCGCGCUCGGGGGGAAGGAGGCGGGGAGAGCGGGGCUCAGAGAGGGAGGCAGCGAGGCCGCAGCUCAGCUCCCCGCGCUUCUGCUUCCAGCCCUCUUCCUCCGGGGAAAUUGAUGGACUCACUGUGCCCUGAAUGGACCCGGAGUGCCAACAGUUGACUCACAGCAUGGCUGUUCUCCUAUUUCCUAAUUGUCUGCUUAACCUGAGAGCUUUGAAACUUGACUAUGAUAUUCCUACUUUUGUAGAAUCAGAUCAUCCUCAACACUGCCCCAAUCCAUCUUUUGAGGCCACAAGCCAGGACCCCAGUGGAUCGAGAGCUGGUGCUUGAGGAUGAGGGUGCACUCAGUGGGGCCUUCUGAGAUGCUUCAGAGAAGGGAUCCCUUCUCUGCCACAGGGCCUGAUGAUGAACACCAACAAAAGAGAGGAAACAGUCCUUACCCAGGG
Sarcophilus harrisii (Tasmanian devil) is the source of this 565-nucleotide long non-coding RNA. RefSeq lists it as uncharacterized. The transcript has 5 exons. Lineage: Eukaryota; Metazoa; Chordata; Mammalia; Dasyuromorphia; Dasyuridae. The record is from RefSeq and is a predicted model, not a curated record.